AUGGCCGCCGUCGGUCUUCUCGGCGUGCGUCCGGCUCCGGCGCCCGGCCGCCUGGAGAGGCAGGCGGGGGCUUCACCUACCGCAGUUAGCUGGUGCUGGCGUGCCCGCCCGCGCACCCUUCGGUCCAUUCCGCCGCCCGGGGGAGCGGGGAGGGGCGGGGUAAGCGCGGCGAGGCCCGCGCGCGCCGCGAUGGGCGGCGGCGACCUGUACGCGCUCGACUUCGACGGCGUGUUCUGCGACAGCUGCGGGGAGAGCUCCCUCUCCGCCGUCAAGGCCGCCAAGGUGAGGUGGCCGUGGGCGUUUGGGCAGGUCGACGCCGCCUUGGAGGAGUUGGAGGAGCUCUCGGCUAACACUAGCAUGUCAAAGCUCCAUUUGGAAAUGCUGUGGUUUUGCAAGACUGAAUCUGUUGAUUAG
RNAcentral lists this ribosomal RNA (414 nucleotides) under Triticum aestivum (bread wheat). Its description in RNAcentral is "partial small subunit ribosomal RNA". The record is from RNAcentral. Lineage: Eukaryota; Viridiplantae; Streptophyta; Magnoliopsida; Poales; Poaceae.